This 691-nucleotide ribosomal RNA is filed under the name uncultured bacterium. RNAcentral describes it as "partial 16S ribosomal RNA". It matches the Rfam family "Bacterial small subunit ribosomal RNA", at positions 140 to 851 of the family's 1533-position model. The record is from RNAcentral.
GGGAUAGCCGCCCGAAAGGACGGGUAAUACCGGAUACCCCGGGGUGCCGCAUGGCACCCCGGCUAAAGCCCCGACGGGAGGGGAUGGCUCCGCGGCCCAUCAGGUAGACGGCGGGGUGACGGCCCACCGUGCCGACAACGGGUAGCCGGGUUGAGAGACCGACCGGCCAGAUUGGGACUGAGACACGGCCCAGACUCCUACGGGAGGCAGCAGUGGGGAAUCUUGCGCAAUGGGGGGAACCCUGACGCAGCGACGCCGCGUGCGGGACGGAGGCCUUCGGGUCGUAAACCGCUUUCAGCAGGGAAGAGUCAAGACUGUACCUGCAGAAGAAGCCCCGGCUAACUACGUGCCAGCAGCCGCGGUAAUACGUAGGGGGCGAGCGUUAUCCGGAUUCAUUGGGCGUAAAGCGCGCGUAGGCGGCCCGGCAGGCCGGGGGUCGAAGCGGGGGGCUCAACCCCCCGAAGCCCCCGGAACCUCCGCGGCUUGGGUCCGGUAGGGGAGGGUGGAACACCCGGUGUAGCGGUGGAAUGCGCAGAUAUCGGGUGGAACACCGGUGGCGAAGGCGGCCCUCUGGGCCGAGACCGACGCUGAGGCGCGAAAGCUGGGGGAGCGAACAGGAUUAGAUACCCUGGUAGUCCCAGCCGUAAACGAUGGACGCUAGGUGUGGGGGGACGAUCCCCCCGUGCCGCAG